RNAcentral lists this ribosomal RNA (2774 nucleotides) under Escherichia coli. RNAcentral's name for it is "bacterial LSU rRNA". It matches the Rfam family "Bacterial large subunit ribosomal RNA". Lineage: Bacteria; Pseudomonadati; Pseudomonadota; Gammaproteobacteria; Enterobacterales; Enterobacteriaceae. The record is from RNAcentral.
AGCGUACACGGUGGAUGCCCUGGCAGUCAGAGGCGAUGAAGGACGUGCUAAUCUGCGAUAAGCGUCGGUGAGGUGAUAUGAACCGUUAUAACCGGCGAUUUCCGAAUGGGGAAACCCAGUGUGUUUCGACACACUAUCAUUAACUGAAUCCAUAGGUUAAUGAGGCGAACCGGGGGAACUGAAACAUCUAAGUACCCCGAGGAAAAGAAAUCAACCGAGAUUCCCCCAGUAGCGGCGAGCGAACGGGGAGGAGCCCAGAGCCUGAAUCAGUGUGUGUGUUAGUGGAAGCGUCUGGAAAGGCGUGCGAUACAGGGUGACAGCCCCGUACACAAAAAUGCACAUAUUGUGAGCUCGAUGAGUAGGGCGGGACACGUGGUAUCCUGUCUGAAUAUGGGGGGACCAUCCUCCAAGGCUAAAUACUCCUGACUGACCGAUAGUGAACCAGUACCGUGAGGGAAAGGCGAAAAGAACCCCGGCGAGGGGAGUGAAAAAGAACCUGAAACCGUGUACGUACAAGCAGUGGGAGCCUCUUAAUGGGGUGACUGCGUACCUUUUGUAUAAUGGGUCAGCGACUUAUAUUCUGUAGCAAGGUUAACCGAAUAGGGGAGCCGAAGGGAAACCGAGUCUUAACUGGGCGUUAAGUUGCAGGGUAUAGACCCGAAACCCGGUGAUCUAGCCAUGGGCAGGUUGAAGGUUGGGUAACACUAACUGGAGGACCGAACCGACUAAUGUUGAAAAAUUAGCGGAUGACUUGUGGCUGGGGGUGAAAGGCCAAUCAAACCGGGAGAUAGCUGGUUCUCCCCGAAAGCUAUUUAGGUAGCGCCUCGUGAAUUCAUCUCCGGGGGUAGAGCACUGUUUCGGCAAGGGGGUCAUCCCGACUUACCAACCCGAUGCAAACUGCGAAUACCGGAGAAUGUUAUCACGGGAGACACACGGCGGGUGCUAACGUCCGUCGUGAAGAGGGAAACAACCCAGACCGCCAGCUAAGGUCCCAAAGUCAUGGUUAAGUGGGAAACGAUGUGGGAAGGCCCAGACAGCCAGGAUGUUGGCUUAGAAGCAGCCAUCAUUUAAAGAAAGCGUAAUAGCUCACUGGUCGAGUCGGCCUGCGCGGAAGAUGUAACGGGGCUAAACCAUGCACCGAAGCUGCGGCAGCGACGCUUAUGCGUUGUUGGGUAGGGGAGCGUUCUGUAAGCCUGUGAAGGUGGCCUGUGAGGGUUGCUGGAGGUAUCAGAAGUGCGAAUGCUGACAUAAGUAACGAUAAAGCGGGUGAAAAGCCCGCUCGCCGGAAGACCAAGGGUUCCUGUCCAACGUUAAUCGGGGCAGGGUGAGUCGACCCCUAAGGCGAGGCCGAAAGGCGUAGUCGAUGGGAAACAGGUUAAUAUUCCUGUACUUGGUGUUACUGCGAAGGGGGGACGGAGAAGGCUAUGUUGGCCGGGCGACGGUUGUCCCGGUUUAAGCGUGUAGGCUGGUUUUCCAGGCAAAUCCGGAAAAUCAAGGCUGAGGCGUGAUGACGAGGCACUACGGUGCUGAAGCGACAAAUGCCCUGCUUCCAGGAAAAGCCUCUAAGCAUCAGGUAACAUCAAAUCGUACCCCAAACCGACACAGGUGGUCAGGUAGAGAAUACCAAGGCGCUUGAGAGAACUCGGGUGAAGGAACUAGGCAAAAUGGUGCCGUAACUUCGGGAGAAGGCACGCUGAUAUGUAGGUGAAGCGACUUGCUCGUGGAGCUGAAAUCAGUCGAAGAUACCAGCUGGCUGCAACUGUUUAUUAAAAACACAGCACUGUGCAAACACGAAAGUGGACGUAUACGGUGUGACGCCUGCCCGGUGCCGGAAGGUUAAUUGAUGGGGUUAGCGGUAACGCGAAGCUCUUGAUCGAAGCCCCGGUAAACGGCGGCCGUAACUAUAACGGUCCUAAGGUAGCGAAAUUCCUUGUCGGGUAAGUUCCGACCUGCACGAAUGGCGUAAUGAUGGCCAGGCUGUCUCCACCCGAGACUCAGUGAAAUUGAACUCGCUGUGAAGAUGCAGUGUACCCGCGGCAAGACGGAAAGACCCCGUGAACCUUUACUAUAGCUUGACACUGAACAUUGAGCCUUGAUGUGUAGGAUAGGUGGGAGGCUUUGAAGUGUGGACGCCAGUCUGCAUGGAGCCGACCUUGAAAUACCACCCUUUAAUGUUUGAUGUUCUAACGUGGGCCCCUUACCGGGGUUGCGGACAGUGUCUGGUGGGUAGUUUGACUGGGGCGGUCUCCUCCUAAAGAGUAACGGAGGAGCACGAAGGUUGGCUAAUCCUGGUCGGACAUCAGGAGGUUAGUGCAAUGGCAUAAGCCAGCUUGACUGCGAGCGUGACGGCGCGAGCAGGUGCGAAAGCAGGUCAUAGUGAUCCGGUGGUUCUGAAUGGAAGGGCCAUCGCUCAACGGAUAAAAGGUACUCCGGGGAUAACAGGCUGAUACCGCCCAAGAGUUCAUAUCGACGGCGGUGUUUGGCACCUCGAUGUCGGCUCAUCACAUCCUGGGGCUGAAGUAGGUCCCAAGGGUAUGGCUGUUCGCCAUUUAAAGUGGUACGCGAGCUGGGUUUAGAACGUCGUGAGACAGUUCGGUCCCUAUCUGCCGUGGGCGCUGGAGAACUGAGGGGGGCUGCUCCUAGUACGAGAGGACCGGAGUGGACGCAUCACUGGUGUUCGGGUUGUCAUGCCAAUGGCACUGCCCGGUAGCUAAAUGCGGAAGAGAUAAGUGCUGAAAGCAUCUAAGCACGAAACUUGCCCCGAGAUGAGUUCU